AUUGAACGCUGGCGGCAGGCCUAACACAUGCAAGUCGAACGAGUGGCGGACGGGUGAGUCAUGUCUGGGACACUGCCUGAUGGAGGGGGAUAACUACUGAAAACGGUAGCUAAUACCGCAUACCAGCCAAUGUGCCCAGAGGGGAUUAGCUAGUUGGUGGGGUAACGGCUCACCAAGGAGACGAUCCCUAGCGGGUCUGAGAGGAUGACCAGCCACACUGGAACUGAGACACGGUCCAGACUCCUACGGGAGGCAGCAGUGGGGAAUAUUGCACAAUGGGCGCAAGCCUGAUGCAGCCAUGCCGCGUGUAUGAAGAAGGUCUUCGGGUUGUAAAGCACUUUCAGCGGGGAGGCGUUACCCGCAGAAGAAGCACCGGCUAACUCCGUGCCAGCAGCCGCAGUAAUAC
Molecule: ribosomal RNA, 406 nt
Filed under: uncultured bacterium
Lineage: Bacteria
Description: partial 16S ribosomal RNA
Rfam family: Bacterial small subunit ribosomal RNA
Source: RNAcentral